GUGCCACUUCAGCAGCACAGACACUGAAGUUGGAACGAUACAGAGGAGAGUAGCGUGGCCCCUGGGCACCGAUGACGUGCAGACUCAUGAAGUGUUUUGCAGUCUU
Molecule: small nuclear RNA, 106 nt
Organism: Octodon degus (degu)
Lineage: Eukaryota; Metazoa; Chordata; Mammalia; Rodentia; Octodontidae
Source: Ensembl